This 206-nucleotide microRNA precursor is filed under the name Oryza brachyantha (malo sina). RNAcentral describes it as "MIR812 microRNA precursor family". It matches the Rfam family "MIR812 microRNA precursor family". Lineage: Eukaryota; Viridiplantae; Streptophyta; Magnoliopsida; Poales; Poaceae. The record is from Rfam by way of RNAcentral.
AAUAAACGAAUUUGUGUGUUUUUAGAUAGAAUUUUUGACUUUCUGUCUUAUUUGAAAAAUUUUUUAUGAUUAAUAUUUUUAUUGUUACUACAUGAUAAAACAUAAAUAGUAUUUUACGUGCGACUAUUUUUUUAAUUUUUUAAUAAUUUUUUUAAAAAGACGGAUGGUCAAACGCUCGAACGGCAAAACUCAGGAAUGCCUUUUUU